Molecule: non-coding RNA, 29 nt
Filed under: Mus musculus (house mouse)
Lineage: Eukaryota; Metazoa; Chordata; Mammalia; Rodentia; Muridae
Source: RNAcentral
UAAAAGGAUAAGAUGACUGUGACAUUGCA